Molecule: non-coding RNA, 565 nt
Organism: Gossypium arboreum
Lineage: Eukaryota; Viridiplantae; Streptophyta; Magnoliopsida; Malvales; Malvaceae
Source: Rfam
UUGUUGUCUGGAGAAGCGUCCUCAGCGGCGGACCGGGCCCAAGUCCCCUGGAAAGGGGCGCCGGAGAGGGUGAGAGCCCCGUCGUGCCCGGACCCUGUCGCACCAUGAGGUGCUGUCUACGAGUCGGGUUGUUUGGGAAUGCAGCCCUAAUCGGGCGGUAAAUUCCGUCCAAGGCUAAAUACGGGCGAGAGACCGAUAGCGAACAAGUACCGCGAGGGAAAGAUGAAAAGGACUUUGAAAAGAGAGUCAAAGAGUGCUUGAAAUUGUCGGGAGGGAAGCGGAUGGGGGCCGGCGAUGCGCCCCGGUCGGAUGUGGACCGGCUCUCGCCGUUCCACAUCCGACCGGGGCGCAUCGCCGGCCCCCAUCCGCUUCCCUCCCGACAAUUUCAAGCACUCUUUUACUCUCUUUUCAAAGUCCUUUUCAUCUUUCCCUCGCGGUACUUGUUCGCUAUCGGUCUCUCGCCCGUAUUUAGCCUUGGACGGAAUUUACCACCCGAUUAGGGCUGCAUUCCCAAACAACCCGACUCGUAGACAGCACCUCAUGGUGCGACAGGGUCCGGGCACGA